AGCAUACUUUUAAAAAGGGCUUUAUUAGAGCUGUAAAACCAAGAGCUGUUAAGGUUGUAUCUAAAGAAUGAAGUUAUCCCCAGGAUGCCAGUCACUUCAACAAUGCUAAUGUUUUCUUGAAAAGAUAUAAGA
This 132-nucleotide small nucleolar RNA is filed under the name Cavia porcellus (domestic guinea pig). Its description in RNAcentral is "Small nucleolar RNA SNORA25 (ENSCPOG00000029581.2)". Lineage: Eukaryota; Metazoa; Chordata; Mammalia; Rodentia; Caviidae. The record is from RNAcentral.